Molecule: non-coding RNA, 72 nt
Organism: Dipodomys ordii (Ord's kangaroo rat)
Lineage: Eukaryota; Metazoa; Chordata; Mammalia; Rodentia; Heteromyidae
Source: Rfam
GGGAAGGUGGCUCAGUGGUAGAGUGCUUGCCUAGUAUGCAUGAAGCCUUGGGUUUGAUUCCUCACUACCACA